GACGAAGGGGGCUAGCGUUGUUCGGAAUUACUGGGCGUAAAGCGCGUGUAGGCGGUUGUCCAAGUUGGAUGUGAAAGCCUUGAGCUUAACUCAAGAAAUGCAUUCAGGACUGGAUGACUAGAGGACCGGAGAGGAUAGUGGAAUUCCCAGUGUAGUGGUGAAAUACGUAGAGAUUGGGAAGAACACCAGUGGCGAAGGCGGCUAUCUGGACGGAACUGACGCUGAGACGCGAAAGCGUGGGGAGCGAACAGG
This 252-nucleotide ribosomal RNA is filed under the name uncultured bacterium. RNAcentral's name for it is "partial 16S ribosomal RNA". It matches the Rfam family "Bacterial small subunit ribosomal RNA", at positions 524 to 776 of the family's 1533-position model. The record is from RNAcentral.